GGAGUAAGACAAUUAAGAUGUAAGGAACUAAUGUGCUAAUAUAGAAAACAGCAACAUGAAGUCUUAAGAUAUUUUAAAUUCCACAGCCAUAAACUUAGAUUGUGUAAGGUGGACAUAAAGGUGGACAGAAAUUAAAACUGUUUAAAGUGUGAUAUUUCCAUGGAGAUAUUCAAAACUCAGCAAGACAAAGCAUUCCCAUCUACCUUGAGGAUCACAGACAGAGGACAAGAGAGACCGAGGAGUUCACUUUAUCUUGCCUCUGUUCCAAGGCAAUAUCAACAAGAUAUCAAAAAAGAAACAAAGAAAAAGCAUCUGAAUUGAGAUGAUCAAGGGAGAAUAAUUCCUGUUCUUGUUUUCUUUCUUACUAACAAGACUUUUUCCUG
Molecule: long non-coding RNA, 383 nt
Organism: Anas platyrhynchos (mallard)
Lineage: Eukaryota; Metazoa; Chordata; Aves; Anseriformes; Anatidae
Source: RefSeq, a predicted model, not a curated record